GAGGAGGGAGCAGGGGAAAGGAAAAGGAGGUAAAGUUAGGGGACUUCAACUAGGAGCUGUCUGCCUUUUCUGGAGAGCCUGGGCCGGCAGCCACCAAGCUGAGGGCUCCUUCAGGGGCUGUGAGCCUGAGCGAGGCCUCCCAGAAGGGAGGGAACAAAGCCUGAAGCUCAAGGCUCAAGGUUCCCAGCAGGCCAAGCCCAAACCUUACAACCUUGCCAAACUCCCCUGGGCUCCGUCCUAGUGGGAGCCUUAAACCCAUGUUAUAUUGCUUGAGGCUAGGUGCUUUCACAGCUCCCCAUGCACCCGACCUCUUCAGGAUCCCAGCUUAAACAGUGACAAAGGCCAAGCCGUCUCUCUGUUGUGAAGCCCGAGUUCUCAAGAAUCCCCUUCUAUAAUGGUAGCUCAGAAAUGGUGGCUCGAGGUGACGCCAGCCACCACCAUUCUCUGUACUGAAUCGCCACCUAGAGGCCAGUUCUAGCCCAAACUAAUAUGUAGGCUGUUUUCAAUUUUACCUCAAGAUGGAAAACAUGAGAAAAAGAGAUGGCUUUGAACAAAAAGACAGAAAGGCAAGAAAAUGGCGCAAGACCUUUAAAAGGACUCCAUCAGCCCCUUCACCAAUCCUGUGGUUUGCGGAUGAGAUAGCAAGGGCUGAAAUGUCUCCACUUCUCAAUGGGGCACGAUUUCCUCCAUGGCUUAGGACCAAUGUGAGAAUGUCACUAUUUCUCACAUAUUCUAAAAUCUAAAUUUGAAGAGCAAAUAUGCCAAGAAAACCCUCCAGUUUGCCCUGCAUCUCAGACCCCAACCCAUCUGCUCCUCUUCUUCUGUGCCCAAAUUCAGACUUACUGGCUAGCUUGGGAAGACAGCUUUGCAGUAGAUAGGGCAUCCUUUUUAGGAGAGUUUUCUGAUUUGGCUUACAUUUCUGGAAUCAGCUGCCCUACACUGAACAUGAAUACACUUUAAUCCUGGACCAUUUAUGGAGAAGCAGUUGGACGAUUCUACAAAGGCAUCGAAGCUUUUGCCAUGUGACGUGCCUGCUCCUCCUUCGCCUUCCAUGAUUUUAAGGUUCCUGAGGCCUCCCCAGGAGCUGAGCAGAUGCCAGCACCAUGCUCCCUACAAAACCUCCAGAACCGUGAGCUGAUUAAACCUCUUUUUUUUUAAUAAAUUACCCAGUCGCAAGUAUUUCUUCAUAGCAAUGCAAGAACAACCUAAUACAGGAGAUAAGAGUAUCUCCCUCAAAGGGCUUGUUGUAAAUAAAUGUUAAGUGUGUAAAAUGCUUCACGGUAUUUGGAAGGGGAAAGCAGAAUGUGUUUGCUGUUAGUUGCGUCACUUCGUCCCAGCAGUAACUGUGAUUAAAACUUCCUUUUGCCUCUUUUUGCCCGUGCUUUGAUGACUGGCCUUUGGGGAAGGUCUGAGAACUAAAUGAACAGGGACAAAUCUCUAGCCGAGAGAUUUCAAGAAGUAUUUCUUGACUGGCUGAGCAAAGCAGUAGAGGUGGUGAAUGAAACAGCCCAGAUGAAGCAUUACUCUAGUCAUCACCCACAAGCCCACGAGACUCCACAGCAUCAGACCACCUCCCUCCCAGAAUAACGACCCAUGUACUUCCUCUUCCCUCUCCCCCUCUUGUGAUACAAUUUCCCUUCUAGCCAAGUCACAGGCAGCCCACCCCUGACAGCACUAGCCAGAAAGACAGCAGACCUGGAAAACAAAUAGCAUGCUACGAAUGACUCUACCCAGCAAGUGAGGAGCCGAAGGACAGGAGGAAUCUGGGGAGCUGAAAAGGUGUUUUAAUUGCUGCUUCUAGUCAGGGAGGCCUCUGGACAAAAGUCCAGUCCUCAGUUUCAAUCAUAUCAUACCAGCAAGAUUAAAAGGACCUCCCAAAAUAAGUUAAACCGAUUCCCACACUGACAUAUAAAUGCACUGUUAUACAGUUACAGCAAUUCUACUACAGAACUGACUGACUGGCAGACUUGUGCCCAUCACAAACUAUGUGCUGUUUGUCCACGAUAAACUCUAGAGACUGAGAAUAAGCAUUUGGAAAUUUUAAUUGCAGUCUGAUAGUAAUUUUGUUUGUUGAAUCUGUAAUAAAGAUUUUGUGCCUGUAUUUUAACUUUUCUGGGAAUUCUUGUUGUAUUGUACCAAAGUAUUGAUCCACGGCAACUAGUCCUCCAACACAGAUUGCUUAAGCACUGUCACAAGCACUAAAUAUGUACAAGUGUGAACAGAUAUCUUUCAUGACUCAGCAAGAUGCUCCCACUAGCACGUCCCACUCCAAAAUAAAAGACAAUUAACAAUAAAAAAAAACAUGGCUUUUUUUUGCAUAUCACCUUGAAACAGAAAAAAAAAAGUCUAAUUUUUCUAUUAGAAAUUUAGUAAAAAGCCGUUUCCAGUUUAUAUUUCAGUCCAAACUUUCACACCGGAAGUGAUCAAUGUCCAGAAAGUUUUAUCCCAGUGUUUAUGGAGACUACAGAGAGGAUACUAUGCUUGAAUUGGAAGGUAUCGUAGUGGCGAAAACUCUUGAGUCAGAAAACCUGGAUUCAAAUUCUGCCAUCUUUCUGGCCAAUGCUCUCAGGGAUGGGAUGCCCAGGACUUGGUGAAAUCAUCACUUACCUAAUAUCAAAAGUUUGUAAACAAAGAAAAGGAGGAAGUGGGCGAGGUGAAACAAAAGCUUUUGAUAUUGGGUAAGUGAUAAUCCAGUUUCCGUAAGUAUAAAAUGUGGGAAGUAAAACUGUCUGCCCAAUCUGGAUCGUAAGAGUGUUGUGAAAUUCAAGUGAGACGUCUGUGGAAAGUGCCUUCUAAAGAAUAAAGUGCAGUAGAAGUACACGAUGGACCCCAUCUCUGCUAAAAAGGCAAAAAUUAGCUGCGAAGAAAAAAAGAAGUACACAGUGGGGUAAAUAUUAUGAACCCAGCUUUCAAAGAGUUGCUAGCCUCAAAGGAAAUAGCCCCUAUGAUACAGUAUAGUAACAAAGUUGACCAGAAUAUUAACAUUCUUCAAAUAUCCUGUUAAUGAAAGAUUUGCCAGGUUAGAAAAUGCUGCCUUCAUAUCCUUCCCUGUGCAGAAAGCACUCUUAUUUUCUGAUGAAUUAUUAAGUGUAUUUGUUUACACAUCUGCCAGACAUCUAGCACCAGGGUAGAUACGACCAGGGAGGAAGCAGCAAAGUACGUGUCCUCACAACUCACAGCUGCAGGGGCAGCCGGGGCAGGCUCAAGGCAGUAUGUGACUUGGCAACAACUCUACCCUGUUAUCACUUGUACAGCUACUGAGAGACCCCCUCAAAAGGAUACAAACUCAAAAAUGUACCAUUUCACUGCUGUACAUUAGGCAAAAGAUGACUAGAAAAUCAUAAUGUAUUUUAGCUUUAUUAAAGACAUAUUAUAGUAGACAGACAAGUAGACAAACACAGACAUGCUCUAUAAAAUACACAUUCUGAUGUGUGACAAAAUAUAAACAGAUAUUGGGAAAUGACUGCACUGAACAAUGACUUGGCUUAUACCUCUUCUUAGGUACAUCUAGUAUUAGGGCUAUUUAGACUGGCAUUAUCCCAUAGGGGAAAAAAAGAAUAGUGGAAAAUAGAGGGUAGAAAUAGUCUCACCAUUGUAAAGAGGCCACAGUGAACAGCCAAGAGACAUUCCAAGAGUACUUGACCACCUGAUGAUCAAUUUCUCUUUCAAGACAGUUACAGUUCAUAAAAGAUCACUUUACUUCUUUAUCUGAAAAGAGGCACAAGUCAAGCUGUUUCUUCACCUUCACCCUAUUCCAUCUUCUCUGUCUCUCUCACACACACACUCUCUCUCUCUACACACACACACACACACACACACACACAAAACCUACCUUACUACUGACAAAGCCUCCGGAUGACUCUUGGGUUUUCAGGUGUUGUUAAGUGCAGCUUGUAACAUACCUCUUACUUCCAAACUUGUUACUUUUAUCAAUUAACCAGGUGGUUGUCCAAAAAAAAAAAGAAAA
Long non-coding RNA from Callithrix jacchus (white-tufted-ear marmoset), 3967 nucleotides. RefSeq lists it as uncharacterized. Lineage: Eukaryota; Metazoa; Chordata; Mammalia; Primates; Cebidae. The record is from RefSeq and is a predicted model, not a curated record.